RNAcentral lists this ribosomal RNA (253 nucleotides) under uncultured Rikenellaceae bacterium. RNAcentral's name for it is "partial 16S ribosomal RNA". It matches the Rfam family "Bacterial small subunit ribosomal RNA", at positions 524 to 776 of the family's 1533-position model. Lineage: Bacteria; Pseudomonadati; Bacteroidota; Bacteroidia; Bacteroidales; Rikenellaceae. The record is from RNAcentral.
UACGGAGGAUUCAAGCGUUAUCCGGAUUUAUUGGGUUUAAAGGGUGCGUAGGCGGUCGGAUAAGUUAGAGGUGAAAUCCCGAGGCUCAACUUCGGAAUUGCCUCUGAUACUGUUCGGCUAGAGAGUAGUUGCGGUAGGCGGAAUGCGCGGUGUAGCGGUGAAAUGCAUAGAUAUCGCGCAGAACUCCGAUUGCGAAGGCAGCGUACCAAGCUACUUCUGACGUUGAGGCACGAAAGCGUGGGGAGCAAACAGG